Molecule: non-coding RNA, 265 nt
Filed under: Candidatus Giovannonibacteria bacterium GW2011_GWB1_47_6b
Lineage: Bacteria; Candidatus Giovannoniibacteriota
Also listed under: 1 other name
Description: self-splicing intron
Rfam family: Group I catalytic intron
About the family: Group I catalytic introns are large self-splicing ribozymes. They catalyse their own excision from mRNA, tRNA and rRNA precursors in a wide range of organisms. The core secondary structure consists of 9 paired regions (P1-P9).
Source: RNAcentral
UUAAGGUGGUCUACCGUUAGACCGUGUGGGGAUAACGAUAAACAAUUUGGCUAUAUGCUGGAACAUCCGUGUAUCUCUGAAGUACCGAGUACAUAUAAUCUAUAUGUCUGGUGAAAAUCUUAGAGUGGCACGUCAAGUCGACGGACAACCAGCAGGCAACCCAUCACAUCUACCAAGUUGCGAUGGAGAGUCCUCAACGACUAUACGCCAAACCCGAUUUAGAUAAUCGGAGAAGAUAUAGUCUGAUCUUUGCGGCGACGCAAAG